Molecule: ribosomal RNA, 300 nt
Filed under: uncultured Enterococcus sp.
Lineage: Bacteria; Bacillati; Bacillota; Bacilli; Lactobacillales; Enterococcaceae
Description: bacterial SSU rRNA
Rfam family: Bacterial small subunit ribosomal RNA
Source: RNAcentral
GGCAAACGUGUAGCCAGCAGGCGAGGGAGGGCGGAGGUGGCGGGCGUUGUUCGGAAUCACUGGGCAUAAAGCGAACGUAGGCGGUGUCGUAAGUCGGGUGUGAAAUCCCUCGGCCUAACCGAGGAACUGCGCCCGAUACUGCGAUGCUUGAGGACCAGAGGGGUGCAUGGAAUUUCCGGUGGAGCGGUGAAAUGCGUUGAUAUCGGAAGGAACUCCGGCGGCGAAAGCGAUGCACUGGCUGGUUUCUGACGCUGAGGUGCGAAAGCCAGGGGAGCAAACGGGAUUAGAUACCCCAGAGUC